CCAUAGCGUAUAUUUAAGUUGCUGCAGUUAAAAAGCUCGUAGUUGGAUUUCGGGUGGGAAUGGCCGGUCCGCCGUUUCGGUGUGCAAUUGCUACGCCCACCUUGCUGCCGGGGACGUGCUCUUGAGUUCACGCUCGGGACACGGAGUCGGCGAGGUUACUUUGAGUAAAUUAGAGUGUUCAAAGCAGGCCUAAGCUCUGAAUACAUUAGCAUGGAAUAACACGAUAGGACUCUGGCCUAUCUUGUUGGUCUGUAGGACCGGAGUAAUGAUUAAGAGGGACAGUCGGGGGCAUUCGUAUUUCAUUGUCAGAGGUGAAAUUCUUGGAUUUAUGAAAGACGAACUACUGCGAAAGCAUUUGCCAAGGAUGUUUUCAUUAA
RNAcentral lists this ribosomal RNA (377 nucleotides) under uncultured eukaryote. RNAcentral describes it as "partial 18S ribosomal RNA". It matches the Rfam family "Eukaryotic small subunit ribosomal RNA", at positions 592 to 976 of the family's 1831-position model. The record is from RNAcentral.